AGUGGGAUAGCUAGGUCAAAGGUUGAUUCCAUUCCAAGUUUUCUGAGGAAUCUCCAUACUGCUUUUCAUAAUGGUUGCACCAAUUUGCAGUCCCACCAGCAAU
RNAcentral lists this microRNA precursor (103 nucleotides) under Marmota monax (woodchuck). The record is from RNAcentral. Lineage: Eukaryota; Metazoa; Chordata; Mammalia; Rodentia; Sciuridae.